This 554-nucleotide ribosomal RNA is filed under the name uncultured fungus. RNAcentral's name for it is "SSU rRNA". It matches the Rfam family "Eukaryotic small subunit ribosomal RNA", at positions 20 to 575 of the family's 1831-position model. The record is from RNAcentral. Lineage: Eukaryota; Fungi.
GUAGUCAUAUGCUUGUCUCAAAGAUUAAGCCAUGCAUGUCUAAGUAUAAGCAAAAUAUAUAGUGAAACUGCGAAUGGCUCAUUAAAUCAGUUAUCGUUUAUUUGAUGAUACUUUACUACUUGGAUAACCGUGGUAAUUCUAGAGCUAAUACAUGCAUAAAAGUCCCGACCCCUGGAAGGGAUGUAUUUAUUAGAUAAAAAGCCAAUGCCUUCGGGCUCUUUGGUGAUUCAUAGUAACUUAACGAAUCGCAUUUGCCUUGUGCUGGCGAUGGUUCAUUCAAAUUUCUGCCCUAUCAACUUUCGAUGGUAGGAUAUAGGCCUACCAUGGUUUCAACGGGUAACGGGGAAUUAGGGUUCUAUUCCGGAGAGGGAGCCUGAGAAACGGCUACCACAUCCAAGGAAGGCAGCAGGCGCGCAAAUUACCCAAUCCCGACACGGGGAGGUAGUGACAAUAAAUAUUGAUACAGGUGGUUUUAUACCUCUUGUAAUUGGAAUGAGUACAAUUUAAAUCUCUUAACGAGGAACAAUUGGAGGGCAAGUCUGGUGCCAGCAGCC